GUGGUUUAAUUCGAAGAUACACGAAGAACCUUACCUGGCCUUGACAUGGCAGGAACCCUUAAGAGAUUAGGGGUGCUAGCUUGCUAGAACCUACACACAGGUGCUGCACGGCUGUCGUCAGCUCGCGUCGUGAGAUGUUGGGUUAAGUCCCGCAACGAGCGCAACCCUCGUCCUUAGUUGCUAACAGUUCGGCUGAGCACUCUAGGGAGACUGCCUUCGCAAGGAGGAGGAAGGUGAGGACGACGUCAAGUCAUCAUGGCCCUUACGGCCAGGGCUACACACGUGCUACAAUGGGGCGUACAGAGAGCUGCGAUACUGCGAGGUGGAGCCAAUCUCUUAAAGCGUCUCUCAGUUCGGAUUGUUCUCUGCAACUCGAGAACAUGAAGCUGGAAUCACUAGUAAUCGCAGAUCAGCUAUGCUGCGGUGAAUACGUUCCCGGGUCUU
Molecule: ribosomal RNA, 444 nt
Filed under: uncultured Sulfuricurvum sp.
Lineage: Bacteria; Pseudomonadati; Campylobacterota; Epsilonproteobacteria; Campylobacterales; Sulfurimonadaceae
Description: bacterial SSU rRNA
Rfam family: Bacterial small subunit ribosomal RNA
Source: RNAcentral